RNAcentral lists this ribosomal RNA (301 nucleotides) under uncultured bacterium. RNAcentral describes it as "partial 16S ribosomal RNA". It matches the Rfam family "Bacterial small subunit ribosomal RNA", at positions 509 to 808 of the family's 1533-position model. The record is from RNAcentral.
CAGUAGCCGCGGGAAUACGUAGGUCCCGAGCGUUGUCCGGAUUUAUUGGGCGUAAAGGGAGCGCAGGCGGUUUAGUAAGUCUGAAGUUAAAGGCAUUGGCUCAACCAAUGUAUGCUUUGGAAACUGUUAGACUUGAGUGCAGAAGGGGAGAGUGGAAUUCCAUGUGUAGCGGUGAAAUGCGUAGAUAUUGGGAAGAACACCGGUGGCGAAGGCGGCGACCUGGUCCUUUACUGACGCUGAGGCGCGAAGGCGUGGGGAGCAAACAGGAUUAGAUACCCCAGUAGUCCCUGUCUCUUAUACA